This 253-nucleotide ribosomal RNA is filed under the name uncultured bacterium. Its description in RNAcentral is "partial 16S ribosomal RNA". It matches the Rfam family "Bacterial small subunit ribosomal RNA", at positions 524 to 776 of the family's 1533-position model. The record is from RNAcentral.
UACGAAGGGGGCUAGCGUUGCUCGGAAUCACUGGGCGUAAAGGGUGCGUAGGCAGGUCUUUAAGUCAGGGGUGAAAUCCUGGAGCUCAACUCCAGAACUGCCUAUGAUACUGAAGAUCUUGAGUUCGGGAGAGGUGAGUGGAACUGCGAGUGUAGAGGUGAAAUUCGUAGAUAUUCGCAAGAACACCAGUGGCGAAGGCGGCUCACUGGCCCGAUACUGACGCUGAGGCACGAAAGCGUGGGGAGCAAACAGG